AACACUUCUUGGCCUUUUGGCUAAGAUCAAGUGUAGUAUCUGUGAUUUUUAAAUGAAAGAGAUAGGCUUAAAUGGAAAGCAGAUUUAUUAAUAUUAGUUACUAAUA
This is a small nuclear RNA of 106 nucleotides. Its record names the gene U2. It matches the Rfam family "U2 spliceosomal RNA". From Rfam's summary of the family: U2 is a small nuclear RNA (snRNA) component of the spliceosome (involved in pre-mRNA splicing). The record is from Ensembl.